This is a long non-coding RNA of Monodelphis domestica (gray short-tailed opossum), 1283 nucleotides long. RefSeq lists it as uncharacterized. NCBI's taxonomy places the organism in Eukaryota, Metazoa, Chordata, Mammalia, Didelphimorphia, Didelphidae. The record is from RefSeq and is a predicted model, not a curated record.
GAGACCAGGAUUGAGGAGAGGAAGUAGCCUGUCCUCUGACAGGAAGUUAGGGGAGAUAGUUGCUCUGGGAUCUCUAGAGAGUGGAGGUCUGUCUCAGAUGAGGAUAAUGAGUUUUAUAGCUGUCAAGCAACCUGUCCAGGUUCAUUUCAUACAGGUGUGAAAUUAGAGGAAACAUUAGCAUGAGUUCUCUUCUGAAAUGAUAAAGUAAAGCAGAGAAAUGAGGAACAGAAGGAUGACAGCUUCAAGGCAAGAAGUACGGACUAGGAAAGAGCCAGAAGACAAAAUACUGAUAGAGCAGAAAGUGAAAAAAAGAAUUAAAUAUGAAGACUCUUCAGAGAGACUCGCUAAAAAUCAAAUACAAUGCACCUCUGUCUCCUGGACUGACUUCAUUUCUAUUCCUCUCCCUAUCAAGAUGUUUUUAAAAAUUACAUUCUGUUAAGAAAAAAAUCUAUUUAGUACAUUCUCUUUCUCAUACUUACCCUUACCCAAAUGAGAAAUUAAAAAUUCUGUUACAUGUAUAUUCAAGGAAAACAAAUUACCACAAUGACCAUGUUCAGUGGAAUUUUUUCUUUAAUUUCACAUCCACCCUACCCCUCUUACUUUCUUCAUUUCAGGAAACCUUAGAGAUCCUUGUCUUGGAAUUCUUUUUGAUUAAUUAUAGAAAAAUGUACCCUACCUCCCCUUUUGCUUCUCUCUACUGCCCCCAUGUUCUGAACAUGGAUCUAUCCUUUAUUUACUACACUGCUUUGUUUCUUCAUAUAUCAGUGAUUGAUCUUCAUGUAUUCAGUUAAAAGAAAAUUACAAAUAGUGUUCCUUACUUAUCCUUUCAUAUAUUUGUUUUUUUCCAUAUUACUUACCCAUUUUAAAUAUCAGAAGCUCUGAAAAAUAUGUAUUAAUGAUUCUGAUACUUUGUACCUCAAAAUAUAAUUAAUAAAUAUUUUUAAAUUGGCAAAGAGAUUUUAGUUCUUUUCUCCAGAAUAUCUAGCCAUGGUGAUAUUGUUACCUAGGAAACUUUUUCCUGUACAUACAGAGUGUUGUCUGUGCUUGCCUCUUCCUUCUUUCUUUAUCCCUUCUAAGGUUCUCAAAUACUUUGUUAUUUAAAAAAAAACCUUAUUGAUGCUCUUUGUAUUUAUAUCACAGUCAUUUUUGGGGGAAAAAUCCCUUCCCCCAACUCAAAUAGAACAUUUAUUUAUGUAUAUUUAAGAAAAAAACCUAAGCAAUACAGAAUAACAAUGCAGAAAAUAUUCCAUCUUAGGAACCCUCUGCCUCUUUGCCAUGAGGAA